AAGCCUUUUUGUGAUCCCUUACUCAUGAAAAAGUUUCUAGGACAGUUUCUGAGAAUAAAUUCGAUGGAAACAAUUUCCUUGUAUGAACCUGACAUAAAAUUUGUCCCAUGGGAGCUGGUAAUAUGAGUGAGACUUUUAGGUUACAACAGAAAUACUGUCUGUUGACACAGCCUUAAUUUUUUCUCUCUGAGAACUGAUAAUUGUGUUAUUAUUGAAGAGUUGCACUGUCACUCAUUGGCUGUAUAUUGACAAUUCAGAUUCUGGAAAAUUAAGAAAUGAAUUAUAUGACUCCAUAUUGACCUGUUAAAUGUAGAAUUGCCAGGCAUGUUGCAUGCCUGUAAUCCCAGCUUUUGGGAAGGCUGAGGCAGGAAAAUUGCAAGUUCAUUUGCCUGAGAAACUUAGCAAGUUCCUGUCUUGCUAAGUUUUUAAAAAAUAUUUUAAAAAAUAAUAAAAUGAAAAGGGCUGGGGAUAUAGCUCAGUGGAAGCACUUGCUUAGCGUGUGCAAGGCCCUAGGUUCAGUUCCUAGCAAACACAAAAAAGGAGUUAAUUUCAAAAUUAGUGUUACAAUGCUGUAUUCACAGAUGAACAUUUAUAGGCAGCAAUAUAUGGUGUCUGAACUGACCCACCUAAUCCAGCUACAUAGAGCUGGGAUCAGUCUUAGCAGAUUUCAGAGAUUGUGGGCCCACAAAGUCAUCUUCAUUCAGCACCUUGAGUUUUAUUUUAAAACUAAAUAUGACAUUUGAUACUAGUAUUUUUCUUAAUAUUGGAAUGUUUUUGUCUUGAACUUUGUGCAAUGUAAUCAAAGAUUAAAAAUGUAGUAAAAUUUCUGAUUUGUACUAUUGAGGAAAAGCAUGCCACACAAAUAUGUUUAACUUAUGAAGAAAUUUUAAAUGUAGGUUUGUAAGGUCUUGGUAACGCUAAGAAUGAGCAAGAAAGGAACAAUGACUGAACAAGUAGCAGAUGUAAAUGAAUAUUAUUAAUGAGAUUUUUCUACUAGAUAAUACUGAACCUUUUUUAAAAAUGAAAUUUUGACGCUAACUAGAUAUUUGUUAUUUUAAAUGGAUAGAAAUUGAACUUCUUCCUCAUUUAUUGCCCCAAUAGAUGAAUGCCAAGGUAUUUCAAUGUUUGGACAUUAGUGACCUCCAAGCACAGUUGAGUCCUUGCUUUGGCAGCACAUAUACUAAAAUUGUAACUGUAUAAGUUAGUAUGGCCCCUAUGCAAGGACGACACAAACUUGUGAAGUGUUCCAUAUUAAAAAAAAAAAAAAGUUGGUCCCAAGCCUUUGUGGCCUUUAAUCUUAAGGACAUUUGCUUAAAUAUGAUAUUAAUUAUGUUCACAUGCUUUCUUAUGAUUUCAGAUUCCACAUAUCUGCAGGCAUUUUAUAGUUCCUAAAGCUAACAUGUUAGGUCUUAAUUCUUCAUUAUAAUGCUUUGGAGAAAUACAACUCUCCAUCAUCCUGGAAUUCUCUGGGAUCAGUAAGUCUUUGGACAAUUGCUGCUCAGUUUCUCCCCCCCCCCCCCUUUUUCUGAGUUCUUCCCAUCCAUCUUAUUAGGAAGGAAGUGAAUUAGUUGCACAUGGUCUGUAACACCAGUCAACUUUUAUAUAUGUGGAGGGUACACCUGGAAUUACAGAUUGUCUUCAAGCAGUAACUAUGCUUGGAAAUUGAGCCCGAGACCAAGACUUGUUGAUUCUUUUUAGAUAAGUUUUGAUGGUUUUCAUGAAAUGAUGCAGUUGUAAAUCAGCUAGCAUUCAGUACUGUGUUCUUAUAUGAUUAAAACAAAUGAAUUUAAUGAAGUAAUUGUAAUUAAAUUACUUCAUUAAAUUAAAAUAGUGGUGGUAGGGUUCUGCUUACAAUUGUCCACACAAAAUUUUUCAGUGCCUAGUCAUGUGAUCUAUGAUAGAUAGUAUGAAUAUAUAAUGAGUUUUGCUUUAGGGUUACAAACCACUUACUGGUUGCAAAUCCUAAGAUUCAGGAUGUUUUGUCUAAUUUUUUUCUAGUGCUAGGGACGGAACCCAGGACCUCACACAUGUUGAACAAGUGCUCCACCACUGAGCUACUGCAUCAUCCCUUGUUUUGCCUUAAAUUUAAGUGAGCCAUUGAUUGUCUUGGGACUGUAAGGACAAUUAGGAGUAAUUUCAAGAAUUCUCAGUUAAAAAAAAUGUUUUGGUACAAUAGUGUUGACUGUUUCAUAAGAUGAUUUCUAGGUAGCACAUGUGUGAUCUUUAACAUAAUAUUCCGACUGCUGACUCGUUGGUAAACAUCUAAUUUCCAGUAGCUAUGGAUUCAACUAAAUGACUGGUUUAAGCUUGGUUCCUACUUAAUCUGCAUUUAGCUGGAAUUCGUACUCAACCCUGGCUUGACCAUCCUGUGGGGGUGGGAGUGGGAAUCAUGGGAUAGCAAUGACCCUCCAGUAUUGCUUGAUCUGGGAGUAAGCCAAACCACUACUCCUAUUUUGCUUUGUGAAACUGAAUAACCCUUAAUAAAAAGCACAGAC
RNAcentral lists this long non-coding RNA (2495 nucleotides) under Marmota monax (woodchuck). Lineage: Eukaryota; Metazoa; Chordata; Mammalia; Rodentia; Sciuridae. The record is from RNAcentral.